RNAcentral lists this ribosomal RNA (229 nucleotides) under uncultured bacterium. Its description in RNAcentral is "partial 16S ribosomal RNA". It matches the Rfam family "Bacterial small subunit ribosomal RNA", at positions 568 to 796 of the family's 1533-position model. The record is from RNAcentral.
UCCGCAGGGGGUUUGCUCAGUCUGAUGUGAAAUCUCACGGCUCAACUGUGAAAUGGCAUUGGAUACUGGCGAACUUGAGUGCAUGAUGGGAGAGCGGAAUUCCUGGUGUAGCGGUGGAAUGCGUAGAUAUCAGGAAGAACACCGAUGGCGAAGGCGGCUCUCUGGCAUGUUACUGACCCUCAUGGACGAAAGCGUGGGGAGCAAACAGGAUUAGAUACCCUGGUAGUCC